AAAUUGAAGAGUUUGAUCAUGGCUCAGAUUGAACGCUGGCGGCAGGCCUAACACAUGCAAGUCGAACGGUAACAGGAAACAGCUUGCUGUUUCGCUGACGAGUGGCGGACGGGUGAGUAAUGUCUGGGAAACUGCCCGAUGGAGGGGGAUAACUACUGGAAACGGUAGCUAAUACCGCAUAACGUCGCAAGACCAAAGAGGGGGACCUUCGGGCCUCUUGCCAUCGGAUGUGCCCAGAUGGGAUUAGCUAGUAGGUGGGGUAACGGCUCACCUAGGCGACGAUCCCUAGCUGGUCUGAGAGGAUGACCAGCCACACUGGAACUGAGACACGGUCCAGACUCCUACGGGAGGCAGCAGUGGGGAAUAUUGCACAAUGGGCGCAAGCCUGAUGCAGCCAUGCCGCGUGUAUGAAGAAGGCCUUCGGGUUGUAAAGUACUUUCAGCGGGGAGGAAGGGAGUAAAGUUAAUACCUUUGCUCAUUGACGUUACCCGCAGAAGAAGCACCGGCUAACUCCGUGCCAGCAGCCGCGGUAAUACGGAGGGUGCAAGCGUUAAUCGGAAUUACUGGGCGUAAAGCGCACGCAGGCGGUCUGUUAAGUCAGAUGUGAAAUCCCCGGGCUCAACCUGGGAACUGCAUCUGAUACUGGCAGGCUUGAGUCUCGUAGAGGGGGGUAGAAUUCCAGGUGUAGCGGUGAAAUGCGUAGAGAUCUGGAGGAAUACCGGUGGCGAAGGCGGCCCCCUGGACGAAGACUGACGCUCAGGUGCGAAAGCGUGGGGAGCAAACAGGAUUAGAUACCCUGGUAGUCCACGCCGUAAACGAUGUCGACUUGGAGGUUGUGCCCUUGAGGCGUGGCUUCCGGAGCUAACGCGUUAAGUCGACCGCCUGGGGAGUACGGCCGCAAGGUUAAAACUCAAAUGAAUUGACGGGGGCCCGCACAAGCGGUGGAGCAUGUGGUUUAAUUCGAUGCAACGCGAAGAACCUUACCUGGUCUUGACAUCCACAGAACUUUCCAGAGAUGGAUUGGUGCCUUCGGGAACUGUGAGACAGGUGCUGCAUGGCUGUCGUCAGCUCGUGUUGUGAAAUGUUGGGUUAAGUCCCGCAACGAGCGCAACCCUUAUCCUUUGUUGCCAGCGGUCCGGCCGGGAACUCAAAGGAGACUGCCAGUGAUAAACUGGAGGAAGGUGGGGAUGACGUCAAGUCAUCAUGGCCCUUACGACCAGGGCUACACACGUGCUACAAUGGCGCAUACAAAGAGAAGCGACCUCGCGAGAGCAAGCGGACCUCAUAAAGUGCGUCGUAGUCCGGAUUGGAGUCUGCAACUCGACUCCAUGAAGUCGGAAUCGCUAGUAAUCGUGGAUCAGAAUGCCACGGUGAAUACGUUCCCGGGCCUUGUACACACCGCCCGUCACACCAUGGGAGUGGGUUGCAAAAGAAGUAGGUAGCUUAACCUUCGGGAGGGCGCUUACCACUUUGUGAUUCAUGACUGGGGUGAAGUCGUAACAAGGUAACCGUAGGGGAACCUGCGGUUGGAUCACCUCCUUACCUUAAAGAAGC
This 1554-nucleotide ribosomal RNA is filed under the name Escherichia sp. 93.0816. Its description in RNAcentral is "bacterial SSU rRNA". It matches the Rfam family "Bacterial small subunit ribosomal RNA". Lineage: Bacteria; Pseudomonadati; Pseudomonadota; Gammaproteobacteria; Enterobacterales; Enterobacteriaceae. The record is from RNAcentral.